AACGCUAGCUACAGGCUUAACACAUGCAAGUCGAACGGUAACAGGUGUAGCAAUACAUGCUGACGAGUGGCGCACGGGUGCGUAACGCGUAUGCAACUUACCUCUAACUGGAAGAUACCCUUCCGAAAGGAAGAAUAAUACUCCAUUAUAUUUCGAUGUGGCAUCACAUUGUUCUUAAAGCUUCGGCGGUUAGAGAUAGGCAUGCGUCUGAUUAGCUUGUUGGUGAGGUAAUGGCUCACCAAGGCAACGAUCAGUAGGGGGCCUGAGAGGGUUAUCCCCCACACUGGUACUGAGACACGGACCAGACUCCUACGGGAGGCAGCAGUGAGGAAUAUUGGUCAAUGGACGCAAGUCUGAACCAGCCAAGUAGCGU
Molecule: ribosomal RNA, 373 nt
Filed under: uncultured bacterium
Lineage: Bacteria
Description: bacterial SSU rRNA
Rfam family: Bacterial small subunit ribosomal RNA
Source: RNAcentral